RNAcentral lists this transfer RNA (94 nucleotides) under Faecalibacterium prausnitzii. RNAcentral's name for it is "tRNA-Ser". It matches the Rfam family "tRNA". From Rfam's summary of the family: Transfer RNA (tRNA) molecules are approximately 80 nucleotides in length. Their secondary structure includes four short double-helical elements and three loops (D, anti-codon, and T loops). Further hydrogen bonds mediate the characteristic L-shaped molecular structure. tRNAs have two regions of fundamental functional importance: the anti-codon, which is responsible for specific mRNA codon recognition, and the 3' end, to which the tRNAs corresponding amino acid is attached (by aminoacyl-tRNA synthetases). tRNAs cope with the degeneracy of the genetic code in two manners: having more than one tRNA (with a specific anti-codon) for a particular amino acid; and 'wobble' base-pairing, i.e. permitting non-standard base-pairing at the 3rd anti-codon position. RNAcentral also lists the same sequence under 49 other names. Lineage: Bacteria; Bacillati; Bacillota; Clostridia; Eubacteriales; Oscillospiraceae. The record is from RNAcentral.
GGAGAUGUACCCAAGCGGUUGAAGGGUCCGCACUCGAAAUGCGGUAGGUCGGCUCAAAACCGGCGCGAGAGUUCGAAUCUCUCCAUCUCCGCCA